UUGGAACGCUUGGUCUAAGAUAGUAACCAGUAUGGUAUUUUAUAGCAAAGGAUCCUGCGGACUUUGACUUAUCGGAUGCACUAGAUGAUCAGAAUGAUGGGAGAGGUGGUGGGAAACCAAACGUAAAACCUGGUGGAGGCUCGAAAGGUAAAGAUAACCCUUCAAGAGGUGGAAAACAGGCAUUUUCAGAUGAUGAUCUGGCCAGUGUUCUGGACGAUGGGGAGUACC
This 228-nucleotide long non-coding RNA is filed under the name Chelonoidis abingdonii (Abingdon island giant tortoise). Its description in RNAcentral is "lncRNA (ENSCABG00000014403.1)". The record is from RNAcentral. Lineage: Eukaryota; Metazoa; Chordata; Testudines; Testudinidae.